ACGGGAGGCAGCAGUGAGGAAUAUUGGUCAAUGGGCGAGAGCCUGAACCAGCCAAGUAGCGUGCAGGAUGACGGCCCUAUGGGUUGUAAACUGCUUUUAUGUGGGAAUAAAGUGACUUACGUGUAGGUUUUUGCAUGUACCACAUGAAUAAGGACCGGCUAAUUCCGUGCCAGCAGCCGCGGUAAUACGGAAGAUGCGAGCGUUAUCCGGAUUUAUUGGGUUUAAAGGGAGCGUAGGCGGGUCUUUAAGUCAGUGGUCAAAGCGUGUGGCUCAACCAUACCACGCCAUUGAUACUGGAGACCUUGAGUGCACAUAAGGAUGGUGGAAUUCGUCGUGUAGCGGUGAAAUGCUUAGAUAUGACGAAGAACUCCGAUUGCGAAGGCAGCUGUCCGGGGUGUAACUGACGCUAAUGCUCGAAAGUGCGGGUAUCAAACAGGAUUAGAUACCCUGGUA
RNAcentral lists this ribosomal RNA (453 nucleotides) under uncultured Prevotellaceae bacterium. Its description in RNAcentral is "bacterial SSU rRNA". It matches the Rfam family "Bacterial small subunit ribosomal RNA", at positions 341 to 792 of the family's 1533-position model. Lineage: Bacteria; Pseudomonadati; Bacteroidota; Bacteroidia; Bacteroidales; Prevotellaceae. The record is from RNAcentral.